ACGGAAGGCAGCAGUGAGGAAUAUUGGUCAAUGGACGGAAGUCUGAACCAGCCAUGCCGCGUGAAGGAAUAAGGCCCUAUGGGUCGUAAACUUCUUUUGUGGUGGAGCAAUAAGGUGCACGUGUGCAUCGAUGAGAGUACAUCACGGACAAGCAUCGGCUAACUCCGUGCCAGCAGCCGCGGUAAUACGGAGGAUGCGAGCGUUAUCCGGAUUUAUUGGGUUUAAAGGGUGCGUAGGCUGUUCUUCAAGUCAGAGGUGAAAGACCGGGGCUCAACCCUGGAACUGCCUUUGAUACUGGAGGGCUUGAAUACUGUUGCCGUGGGAGGAAUGAGUAGUGUAGCGGUGAAAUGCAUAGAUAUUACUCAGAACACCGAUUGCGAAGGCAUCUCACGAAGCAGCGAUUGACGCUGAGGCACGAAAGCGUGGGGAUCAAACAGGAUUAGAUACCCUGGUA
This 454-nucleotide ribosomal RNA is filed under the name uncultured Rikenellaceae bacterium. Its description in RNAcentral is "partial 16S ribosomal RNA". It matches the Rfam family "Bacterial small subunit ribosomal RNA", at positions 341 to 792 of the family's 1533-position model. The record is from RNAcentral. Lineage: Bacteria; Pseudomonadati; Bacteroidota; Bacteroidia; Bacteroidales; Rikenellaceae.